GCUCGCUUGGCUCAGUGGUAGAGCGUAUCACUAGUAUAGCCGCUAUGAUAAGGUCGUCAGUUCGAUUCUGACAGUGAGCA
RNAcentral lists this transfer RNA (80 nucleotides) under Zopfia rhizophila CBS 207.26. It matches the Rfam family "tRNA". From Rfam's summary of the family: Transfer RNA (tRNA) molecules are approximately 80 nucleotides in length. Their secondary structure includes four short double-helical elements and three loops (D, anti-codon, and T loops). Lineage: Eukaryota; Fungi; Ascomycota; Dothideomycetes; Zopfiaceae. The record is from Rfam by way of RNAcentral.